AAUCCCGCCGGAAUCCGGGAGGACCAUCUCCCAAGGCUAAAUACUCCCUAGUGACCGAUAGUGAACCAGUACCGUGAGGGAAAGGUGAAAAGCACCCCGGGAGGGGAGUGAAAGAGAUCCUGAAACCGUGUGCCUACAAGUAGUCAGAGCCCGUUAACGGGUGAUGGCGUGCCUUUUGUAGAAUGAACCGGCGAGUUACGGUCUCAUGCAAGGUUAAGCUGAAGAAGCGGAGCCGCAGCGAAAGCGAGUCUGAACAGGGCGAAAGAGUAUGAGGCCG
RNAcentral lists this ribosomal RNA (277 nucleotides) under Heyndrickxia coagulans. RNAcentral describes it as "partial 23S ribosomal RNA". It matches the Rfam family "Bacterial large subunit ribosomal RNA", at positions 430 to 709 of the family's 2925-position model. Lineage: Bacteria; Bacillati; Bacillota; Bacilli; Caryophanales; Bacillaceae. The record is from RNAcentral.